UGUAUUAAUGGCAUAGCCAGGACUGUGAGACCCUGCUGGACCAAGUUCCCCCCUUUUCUAUCAAGCCUUGAAAAUGAGAAAGAUCCAGGUCAGUUACAGGUACUUCAAGGAGGCAGUAUGAUUGCCUUGAUGUAUGUCUUCUGGGGUUUCAGCUUGAGAGAGCAGAGGAAAAAUAAAGGAGGCUAUUCUGGGUGCCAGCUGGACUUGUGCUGCCUGUGAGUGAGUGAUACACAAAAUUUCCAUGGGCUUUUGUGAGUGGAUGAGUUGGCCAGGGGUUAUUUUAAAAGGGAUCCUUCCCAAUAGGACUGACUGGUGGAGCAAAGGACUGUGAUC
This 333-nucleotide long non-coding RNA is filed under the name Canis lupus familiaris (dog). RNAcentral's name for it is "lncRNA (ENSCAFG00040004912.1)". The record is from RNAcentral. Lineage: Eukaryota; Metazoa; Chordata; Mammalia; Carnivora; Canidae.